This 462-nucleotide ribosomal RNA is filed under the name uncultured bacterium. RNAcentral's name for it is "bacterial SSU rRNA". It matches the Rfam family "Bacterial small subunit ribosomal RNA", at positions 65 to 527 of the family's 1533-position model. The record is from RNAcentral.
AGCGAGAAAGGUCUUCGGACUGAGUAAAGCGGCGGACGGGUGAGUAACGCGUAGGAAUUUGCCUUUCAGUGAAGAAUAUCCUCGAGAAAUCGAGGUUAAUGCUGCAUAAGUCCUUAACGGGAGAAAGAUGGCCUCUUUGCUGUCGCUGAAAGAUAAGCCUGCGUACUAUUAGCUAGUUGGUAGGGUAAAGGCCUACCAAGGCGAUGAUGGUUAGCCGGCCUGAGAGGGUGUACGGCCACACUGGAACUGAGACACGGNCCAGACUCCUACGGGAGGUAGCAGUGAGGAAUAUUGCGCAAUGGGCGAAAGCCUGACGCAGCGACGCCGCGUGGAGGAUGAAGGUUUUCGGAUUGUAAACUCCUGUUAAGUGGGAAGAAACGACAAAAUAUAAUACAUUUUGUAACUGACGGUACCAUUAAAGAAAGCACCGGCUAACUUCGUGCCAGCAGCCGCGGUAAUACG